This 238-nucleotide long non-coding RNA is filed under the name Setaria italica (foxtail millet). RNAcentral's name for it is "long non-coding RNA (SITA_LNC005693)". Lineage: Eukaryota; Viridiplantae; Streptophyta; Magnoliopsida; Poales; Poaceae. The record is from RNAcentral.
GAGUCUCACUACUUCCGCAUGUUUCACUUCAUAGGAUGUUUUCCUUUGCUUGAUUCAAUCAUGUUGGACUUGUACCAGCACGUGCCAAGAUGAUGUACCAGAUAUUUAUGUAAUAAUUAUAAUGUUGCUACAUUUAUUUCUGUCUUGUAUGGAUUUGAAUCGAUUGAGACAGGGUAUGCACGUGAUAGCCACUUCCUGGAACUUUCACUAAGGUGCAGAGGCUUGAAAUCUCAGAAAU